GCCAUUGUGCUAGCGGCUACAUCCGGGCUAAGACCCGAAGGCAUUCGUGCGAGUCGUUCUAUCCGGGCUAAGACCCGAAGGCAUUCGUGCACGUGGUUAUAUCCGGUUGUAUUCCGAAGAAGCUUGGGCUGGAGGUGAGUGUUGGUUGCUGUAAUGAAUUCAAUCGGUACGCUCGAAAAGCCCAAAGAAUAAGAUUUUGCUCGAUAGCAAUCGGAUUCGGGAUCAUUAAAGUCGAAGUCAUCUACACUAUCAAAGCCUCCAUUUUGGUAUAAUUUUUGGUUGAGCUUUGAAAUGGCAUGUAUAGGACUACCCCUUGUUGGUUUAAAUAUGUUGUGAUGUAUAUGUGUACGGCCAUGCGAAAAUGGCUCGUAAAAGUGAAGUACGAACUUAGACUAUUUGCGGUUUGUAUAUAUAUAUAUGGUGUCAUGAUGUGAUUAUGGAUUGGAAA
Long non-coding RNA from Gossypium arboreum, 448 nucleotides. RefSeq lists it as uncharacterized. The transcript has 2 exons. Lineage: Eukaryota; Viridiplantae; Streptophyta; Magnoliopsida; Malvales; Malvaceae. The record is from RefSeq and is a predicted model, not a curated record.